RNAcentral lists this ribosomal RNA (259 nucleotides) under uncultured prokaryote. Its description in RNAcentral is "partial 16S ribosomal RNA". It matches the Rfam family "Bacterial small subunit ribosomal RNA", at positions 524 to 782 of the family's 1533-position model. The record is from RNAcentral.
UACGGAGGAUCCGAGCGUUAUCCGGAUUUAUUGGGUUUAAAGGGUGCGCAGGCGGGAGAUUAAGUCGGCGGUGAAAUUUUGCAGCUCAACUGUAAAAGUGCCUUCGAUACUGGCUUUCUUGAGUGUGGAUGAAGUAGGCGGAAUUUGUGGUGUAGCGGUGAAAUGCAUAGAUAUCACGAGGAACUCCGAUUGCGCAGGCAGCUUACUAAACUACUACUGACGCUCAUGCACGAAGGCGUGGGGAUCAAACAGGAUUAGA